CCAACAUGGACAAACUAUAGGAAAAAUACACAACACAGUGGUAAAGUAAUACCAGAAUUAAAGAAUGGAUAGAAUGCGUGACUGGGGACAAUACCAAAACUUUUCAUCAGUACUACAAAUUGGUGAUGGCAAACUAGAAAUAUCCUGCAGUGGA
Long non-coding RNA from Thalassophryne amazonica, 154 nucleotides. RefSeq lists it as uncharacterized. The transcript has 3 exons. Lineage: Eukaryota; Metazoa; Chordata; Actinopteri; Batrachoidiformes; Batrachoididae. The record is from RefSeq and is a predicted model, not a curated record.